This is an RNA transcript of Oncorhynchus kisutch (coho salmon), 4296 nucleotides long. It is a transcript of the gene named wolframin, with no coding region annotated. The transcript is spliced from 11 exons. NCBI's taxonomy places the organism in Eukaryota, Metazoa, Chordata, Actinopteri, Salmoniformes, Salmonidae. The record is from RefSeq and is a predicted model, not a curated record.
ACUGGUGAUGCCUGAAAGAGAAAGCUAGGGAAAUGUCGACUUCCUGUAUCCGUAGCCAAUCAUAUUAAGAGAAGAUGAAGGCGUCACAAAAAAACGUCCAAUCCUAACACAUAAAGUGGGCGUUUAUUAUGACAGCUGGAAGAGUUCUCUCCUCGCUAUAAGUGGAGUUUGAUCACAGAUGCGCUUGUGGCACCGAACUGUAAAAAGUGAAAGGGAUGAAUGAGAGGAGACCCUGAACAACUUCAUCGGGGACAUUUCUAGUAGCUUCUUGUCGACUAGAUGAAACACAGAUCGAGUCUUUGACUGCGAAGGCAUGGAACCAUCACCCGCCAACACCCCAACCACCCCGAAACCUGCCUCUUCCUCCCCGCUACCCUCCUCUCUUUCCCCACCUACCCCUAAAUCUACCCCGGGCACUAGACCCACUGUGCCCCUGCCUAAAUCGCCCCCGACCUCUCCGGUCUCACCUUCCAGACCUUUUUGUCCUGGCCCCCUUCUCUCUCCCCCUGCGUCCUCCCUCUCCAUCCCUCCUGCCUCCCCCCUGCGGCAGCCAGUCAGACCUGUCUCCCAGGCGGGACGAUCCCAGCUCAAUGCAGCCAGCAGGGCUCCGGAUGAGAGGAGGGGGGCUGGUGCUGCUGGAGUUACCCCGGGCAUGCACCCUACUACCCCUGUACGACAGCAUUCAAUAGCUGAGCCAGAGGAGCCAGAGGAGGAGCUGAGUGUGGAGGAGCUGGAGGAGAGCGCCAAGUCUGGAGACGCCAAAGCCCAGUCUAGGGUGGGCCGUUACUACUUGGCCCUGGCCGAGGAGAGCGAUGAGGAGCUGAACAACUGUACAGCGGUGAGCUGGCUGGUAGAGGCCACCAAACAGGGUCGUAAGGAUGCCGUCAAGAUGCUACAGCACUGCCUAUCAACCAGGAAAGGCAUCACGUCGGAGAACUUUGAGGAGGUGAAGAAGCUGUGUACGGAGACGAGGUUUGAGAGAGGAGUGAGGAGGGCUGCCCUGGUCAUGUAUUGGAAGCUCAACCCAGAGAAGAAGAGAAGGGUGGCGGUGUCUGAGCUGCUGGAGAACGUGGAACAUGUCAACACAGAACCAGGUGACGCUGCCUCCCAGAGCCCCAUAUCCAGCUCCAUGCAGAAACAGAGGAGAGUUCUGGAGAGUCUCGUCACCAGCAAAGUCAGUUGCUACGACGUGGGUCUGGAUGACUUUGUAGAUAUCACUAAGAAGUACGCUCAGGGCAUCCCACCUAGUCUCACUAUGGCUGGGGCCGGAGGUGACGAUGACGAUGAUGACGAAGUUGUGAAGAAUCCAGAUGACUUGCCCCUUCAUCAGAAGGUGUUGAAGUUUCCCUUACACACCCUGUUGGAGAUCAAGGAGCACCUGAUAGACUGGGCAUCCCGGGCGGGCAUGCAAUGGCUCAGCGCCCUCAUCCCCACUCACCACGUCAAUGCCCUCAUCUUCUUCUUCAUCAUCAGCAACCUCACCAUCGACUUCUUCAUCUUCCUCAUCCCCCUACUCGUCUUCUACCUCUCCUUCUUCUCCAUGGUCAUCUGCACACUGCGUGUCUUCCAGAACUCCAAGGCGUGGGAGAACUUCCGGGCACUGACAGACCUGCUGUCUCGCUUCGAGCCGGGCCUGGACCUGGAGCAAGCUGAGACUAAUUUUGUCUGGACCCACCUGGAGCCCUACCUCUACUUCCUGCUGUCGGUGGUCUUCGUGGUCUUCUCCUUCCCUGUGGCUGACAAGACCUGGAUCCCCUGCUCCGAACUGGCCACCGUGGCUCUGUUCUUCACCGUCACCUCAUUCCUCAGCCUCCAUGCCUCCGCUGAGCUCUUCGCCCGCCGCGCCCUGCUCACAGAGGUGUUAUCGGGGGUCUGUGCCCUGACACAACUGUUACCGGAGAGCGCCUGGUUCCUGCGGGUGUUAGGCACAACGUUUGUGACGGUGCCGCUAGGGGAGAUGGUGGCUCUGAAUGUGGGCGUGCCCUGUCUUCUCUACGGGCACCUGUUCUACCUGCUGUUCCGCAUGGCCCAGCUGAGAGGCUUCAGGGGCACCUACCUCUGCCUCGUACCCUACAUGGUCUGCUUCGUCUGGUGUGAGUUGUGCCUGGUCCUGCUCCACUCCUCCUCCACCAUCGGUCUGAUUCGGACCUGUGUGGGCUACCUCCUCUUCCUGUUCGCCCUGCCUGUUCUCACCUUGGGCUUGGCGGCCAUGUUGCUCUUCCAGGUCCUCCAGUGGUUCAUGGCUCUGGAGAUCACCAAGAUGCUGGUGACUCUGACCGUGUGCGCGGUCCCGGUGGUGUUGCGGUUGUGGACGCGGUUCAGCCUGAACCCGCUGGUGGUGGCAAGGUCUCUGUCGCGGAGCAGCAUAGUCAAGCUCAUCCUGGUGUGGUUGAGUGCUGUGGUGCUGUUCUGCUGGAUGUACGUCUACCGCUCCGAGGGCAUGAAGGUGUAUAACUCCACCCUCACGUGGCCGGAGUACAGUAACCUGUGUGGGCCGAAAGCCUGGAAGGAAUACAAUAUGGCCCAAACCCAGAUCCUGUGUUCUCACCUGGAGGGCCACCGGGUCACCUGGACAGGACGCUUCAAAUAUGUCCGCGUCACCAACAUCGAGAACGGAGUCCAGUCCGUCAUUGGCCUACUCCCUGUGUUUGUAGGGGACUGGAUGAGAUGUCUCUACGGUGAGGCCUAUCCACUCUGUGACAACACCACCGACCCCUCCACUCCCACUGUCCCUUCCCAGCCCCUACCUGCACCCCAGCCCCCUCCAGAAGACCCCUUAUGCAAACUGAAAAAGCUGGCGAAGCACGAGUGCCACGUGAAGCGCUUCGACCGCUACAAGUUCGAGGUGACCUUGGGCAUGCCCCUGGAGAGGAAGAGUAAGAACGGGACCAUUAUAGAGGACGAAGACGCCACCAAGGACAUCGUCCUGAGGGCCAGUAAUGAGUUUGGCCCCAUGUUGCUGCACCUGAGCGCUGGGAGCCUGGUAGAGUUCAGUACGGUUCUGGAGGGACGCCUGGGCUCUAAGUGGCCUGUGUUUGAGCUGAAGGCCAUUCACUGUCUGACGUGUGCAGAUGCCCGCGUGCCCAGCGGCAGGCAGUAUAAGAUAGAACAUGACUGGAGGCGCUCGGCCCAGGGGGCUCUGCAGUUUGGGUUCGACUUCUUCUUUAACCCCUUCCUCACUGCACAGCUGGAGCAGGACACUGAAACACUGGUGAGGGGUAGUGGUGGAUGAGUGUGGUGGAAGAGCAAUGGAUCAAUGCAGAGAAGUGAAUAAGUGUACACUUUGUGGAGUCUAUAAGUGUACACUAGGAGAAGUGAUUUCACUAAGGAUUGGGUUUGGACCUGUUCUGAUCCCACAGUUCCAGUCUGCAGGCCUCUAAUGAUGAUGUCACUGUUUGUAGGUUGUGACGUCACCACUGUAACCCUCUACGCUACUGUGACUAAUAAACCAAUCAUGGAAAUGGAAAUCUCUGCUUCCUGAAAGGUUAUUGCAAUCUCUCACUCCCUCUCUCUUUCCCUCGCGCGCACACACAGAGUCCGUAUACCUUAAUGAGCAUGAUCUUGUCAUUUAGUCUGGAUCUUAACACUCUCCAGGGCUAUGGACAGCUUGUCCAGCAGAAGAGGUCACACACACACACACACACACACACAAUGCUUGAUUCUGCGUCAUUAGUGUAUGUAAUGACAGUGUAUUAACACUAGGUGGUUCCCCAGGCUACAGCACAGAGAUUUGUUUUAGUGAUAUCAUGUAAUCCUUAGUGAUGUAUUUCAAAUCUAUUGAGCCAUAUGAAGACUGUUGGAUCUACAAAGUACACAGACAGCAGUUAAUACUUUAAGCACUAUACAUGAAUGAAAAGCGAUUUGAAUAGUGGUGAUAUUAGAAUUGAUUUGGCUGCAGUGGCCGUCGUUUAACAGACACACCACAGCCUAACCCUAACCCAUAGGAUGCAAUUUUGUUGAAAUCUUUAUUCAGGGGGGGGGGACAUAUUAACAUAUUUAUAAUUGUUCAUUUGACUUUCUCUUCUUGAAAAUACGUGAACAAAAAAAAAAAGAUGUGAAUCAAUGCCAGGGCAGCGGGACUUGGAAUCAAACACAAGUGAUGUUUCCAAAAAUAUAUAAAUGCAAUUGCUGGAGAGAAGAGUGCAAUAAUCUCUCUCACAUUGUCAUGGACAGCAUCAUUAUUACAGAUGAUUGGCUCUGGGACAUAAUGAUACGAAACAAACCGAUCAGCCCCUUUUUAAAGGUCUAGAUAACAACGCUGAUAAAACAAUCCCAAUUCCUCUGGUUCAGUUUCUU